This 310-nucleotide unclassified non-coding RNA is filed under the name uncultured Trichophaea. RNAcentral describes it as "sequence contains ITS1". The stretch from base 1 to 105 matches the Rfam family "5.8S ribosomal RNA", at positions 50 to 154 of the family's 154-position model. The record is from RNAcentral. Lineage: Eukaryota; Fungi; Ascomycota; Pezizomycetes; Pezizales; Pyronemataceae.
GAAAUGCGAUAAGUAGUGUGAAUUGCAGAAUUCAGUGAAUCAUCGAAUCUUUGAACGCACAUUGCGCCUCCUGGCAUUCCGGAAGGCAUGCCUGUUCGAGCGUCAUAAAAUACAUUCAGCCACAGCCUCGCGAUGGUUGGUUGUGAAGCCGCGGGUGAAAACCUUCGGCUUUGAAAUCCAUUGGCGAAGGACGCGGUAAUCCCUUGCGUAGUAAAAACUUAUUCCGCUCUGGAGACCGACAUCCUUCCGUCACAACACACUUAAUCUUGAAGUUGACCUCGAAUCAGGUAGGGAUACCCGCUGAACUUAA